Malus domestica (apple) is the source of this 129-nucleotide small nucleolar RNA. The record is from RefSeq and is a predicted model, not a curated record. Lineage: Eukaryota; Viridiplantae; Streptophyta; Magnoliopsida; Rosales; Rosaceae.
AUCCCAGAUAAAAGUUUUUGUGUUUACCUGAUUCAUGGGGCGCAUGGGGCGCAGAUAUAAAUAGUGGUAGUUCGCUGAUAGCACCUUAUGUCUUUACAAGGUAUGCUAAUAGUACCUUACCACACAUUC